AUUGAACGCUGGCGGCAGGCCUAACACAUGCAAGUCGAACGGUAACAGGGAUCAGCUUGCUGAUUCGCUGACGAGUGGCGGACGGGUGAGUAAUGUCUGGGAAACUGCCUGAUGGAGGGGGAUAACUACUGGAAACGGUAGCUAAUACCGCAUAACGUCGCAAGACCAAAGAGGGGGACCUUCGGGCCUCUUGCCAUCGGAUGUGCCCAGAUGGGAUUAGCUAGUAGGUGGGGUAACGGCUCACCUAGGCGACGAUCCCUAGCUGGUCUGAGAGGAUGACCAGCCACACUGGAACUGAGACACGGUCCAGACUCCUACGGGAGGCAGCAGUGGGGAAUAUUGCACAAUGGGCGCAAGCCCGAUGCAGCCAUGCCGCGUGUAUGAAGAAGGCCUUCGGGUUGUAAAGUACUUUCAGCGGGGAGGAAGGGAGUAAAGUUAAUACCUUUGCUCAUUGACGUUACCCGCAGAAGAAGCACCGGCUAACUCCGUG
Molecule: ribosomal RNA, 490 nt
Filed under: uncultured bacterium
Lineage: Bacteria
Description: partial 16S ribosomal RNA
Rfam family: Bacterial small subunit ribosomal RNA
Source: RNAcentral